This 1445-nucleotide ribosomal RNA is filed under the name uncultured organism. RNAcentral describes it as "16S ribosomal RNA". It matches the Rfam family "Bacterial small subunit ribosomal RNA". The record is from RNAcentral.
ACGCUAGCUACAGGCUUAACACAUGCAAGUCGAGGGGCAGCAUUUUAGUUUGCUUGCAAACUAAAGAUGGCGACCGGCGCACGGGUGAGUAACACGUAUCCAACCUGCCGAUAACUCGGGGAUAGCCUUUCGAAAGAAAGAUUAAUAUCCGAUAGUAUAUUAAAACCGCAUGGUUUUACUAUUAAAGAAUUUCGGUUAUCGAUGGGGAUGCGUUCCAUUAGUUUGUUGGCGGGGUAACGGCCCACCAAGACUACGAUGGAUAGGGGUUCUGAGAGGAAGGUCCCCCACAUUGGAACUGAGACACGGUCCAAACUCCUACGGGAGGCAGCAGUGAGGAAUAUUGGUCAAUGGACGAGAGUCUGAACCAGCCAAGUAGCGUGAAGGAUGACUGCCCUAUGGGUUGUAAACUUCUUUUAUAUGGGAAUAAAGUAUUCCACGUGUGGGAUUUUGUAUGUACCAUAUGAAUAAGGAUCGGCUAACUCCGUGCCAGCAGCCGCGGUAAUACGGAGGAUCCGAGCGUUAUCCGGAUUUAUUGGGUUUAAAGGGAGCGUAGGUGGAUUGUUAAGUCAGUUGUGAAAGUUUGCGGCUCAACCGUAAAAUUGCAGUUGAAACUGGCAGUCUUGAGUACAGUAGAGGUGGGCGGAAUUCGUGGUGUAGCGGUGAAAUGCUUAGAUAUCACGAAGAACUCCGAUUGCGAAGGCAGCUCACUAGACUGCAACUGACACUGAUGCUCGAAAGUGUGGGUAUCAAACAGGAUUAGAUACCCUGGUAGUCCACACAGUAAACGAUGAAUACUCGCUGUUUGCGAUAUACAGUAAGCGGCCAAGCGAAAGCAUUAAGUAUUCCACCUGGGGAGUACGCCGGCAACGGUGAAACUCAAAGGAAUUGACGGGGGCCCGCACAAGCGGAGGAACAUGUGGUUUAAUUCGAUGAUACGCGAGGAACCUUACCCGGGCUUAAAUUGCAUUUGAAUAAUCUGGAAACAGGUUAGCCGCAAGGCAAAUGUGAAGGUGCUGCAUGGUUGUCGUCAGCUCGUGCCGUGAGGUGUCGGCUUAAGUGCCAUAAUGAGCGCAACCCUUAUCUUUAGUUACUAACAGGUCAUGCUGAGGACUCUAGAGAGACUGCCGUCGUAAGAUGUGAGGAAGGUGGGGAUGACGUCAAAUCAGCACGGCCCUUACGUCCGGGGCUACACACGUGUUACAAUGGGGGGUACAGAAGGCAGCUACCUGGCGACAGGAUGCUAAUCCCAAAAACCUCUCUCAGUUCGGAUCGAAGUCUGCAACCCGACUUCGUGAAGCUGGAUUCGCUAGUAAUCGCGCAUCAGCCAUGGCGCGGUGAAUACGUUCCCGGGCCUUGUACACACCGCCCGUCAAGCCAUGAAAGCCGGGGGUACCUGAAGUACGUAACCGCAAGGAGCGUCCUAGGGUAAAACUGGUAAUUGGGGC